Molecule: ribosomal RNA, 476 nt
Filed under: uncultured Glomus
Lineage: Eukaryota; Fungi; Glomeromycota; Glomeromycetes; Glomerales; Glomeraceae
Description: SSU rRNA
Rfam family: Eukaryotic small subunit ribosomal RNA
Source: RNAcentral
AGCAGCCGCGGUAAUUCCAGCUCCAAUAGCGUAUAUUAAAGUUGUUGCAGUUAAAAAGCUCGUAGUUGAAUUUCGGGAUCAAUAUAUUGGUCAUGCUUAGGUAUGUACUGGUAUUAUUGAUUUCUCCCUUCUGAAGAACCAUGAUGUCAUUAAUUUGAUGUCGUGGGGAAUCAGGACUGUUACUUUGAAAAAUUAGAGUGUUUAAAGCAGGCUUUCGCUUGAAUACAUUAGCAUGGAAUAAUGAAAUAGGACGUUUGAUUCUAUUUUGUUGGUUUCUAGGAUCGACGUAAUGAUUAAUAGGGAUAGUUGGGGGCAUUAGUAUUCAAUUGUCAGAGGUGAAAUUCUUGGAUUUUAUUGAAGACUAACUACUGCGAAAGCAUUUGCCAAGGAUGUUUUCAUUAAUCAAGAACGAAAGUUAGAGGAUCGAAGACGAUCAGAUACCGUCGUAGUCUUAACCAUAAACUAUGCCGACUAGG